UAUUCCCCACUGCUGCCUCCCGUAGGAGUCUGGGCCGUGUCUCAGUCCCAAUGUGGCCGUUCAACCUCUCAGUCCGGCUACCGAUCGUCGCCUUGGUGGGCCGUUACCCCGCCAACAAGCUAAUCGGACGCGAGUCCAUCUCUAAGCGAUAAAUCUUUGAUAUCAAAGUCAUGCGGCCUCAAUAUGUUAUGCGGUAUUAGCGAUCUUUUCAGAACGUUAUUCCCCUCUUAGAGGCAGGUUACUCACGCGUUACUCACCCGUCCGCCACUAAGUUAAAAAUCCGUCAUCCCGAAGGAAUCCGUCAAAAUAACUCCGUUCGACUUGCAUGUGUUAGGCACGCCGCCAGCGUUCAUCCUGAGCCAA
This 363-nucleotide ribosomal RNA is filed under the name uncultured rumen bacterium. RNAcentral's name for it is "partial 16S ribosomal RNA". The record is from RNAcentral.